RNAcentral lists this ribosomal RNA (154 nucleotides) under uncultured bacterium. RNAcentral describes it as "partial 16S ribosomal RNA". It matches the Rfam family "Bacterial small subunit ribosomal RNA", at positions 338 to 485 of the family's 1533-position model. The record is from RNAcentral.
CCUACGGGAGGCAGCAGUAGGGAAUCUUCCGCAAUGCACGAAAGUCUGACGGAGCAACGCCGCGUGAGUGAUGAAGGUUUUCGGAUCGUAAAGCUAUGUACCAGGGAAGAACGCUUGGGAGAGUAACUGCUCUCAAAGUGACGGUACCUGAGAA